AUUUUAUACUCGUACACGUGCUCCUCACUAAACGCAAAAAGGGAAAGGAAACGUGGAUAAGACGCUAAGCGUAUUAGUAAAAGUUGACAAGAAGUGCUUUGAUUCGUCGAAAGAACGUUGAAGGUAAGAGGCAUUAGCCAGUACAUAGAUUGAUUGCAUUCUUUCGAUUAAAGAGGAAACACACUUAUAAGCAUAAGGGUAGGAGGGAAGAAGAGAGGAAAAGUAAAACAGAAGAAGAGAGAAAAAGUAGAAGAGAAGAAGACAGAAAACAUCUUUCGUUUGCGGUUAUAUCUUAAUAAUACGUAUUUUCAUUUGAAAAAUUAGAUGUAUAUGUAUUGGAUGAGGUACUUACUUUACAACUUUUCUGUACAACAUGAUUGACUUAUCCUAUUUAUUAAAAUUCCUUGAAACAGA
Bombus impatiens (common eastern bumble bee) is the source of this 414-nucleotide long non-coding RNA. RefSeq lists it as uncharacterized. The record is from RefSeq and is a predicted model, not a curated record. Lineage: Eukaryota; Metazoa; Arthropoda; Insecta; Hymenoptera; Apidae. The transcript is spliced from 2 exons.